CUCCACAGCCUGAGGAAC
This 18-nucleotide unclassified non-coding RNA is filed under the name Mus musculus (house mouse). Its description in RNAcentral is "oocyte_clustered_small_RNA4642". Lineage: Eukaryota; Metazoa; Chordata; Mammalia; Rodentia; Muridae. The record is from RNAcentral.